Molecule: long non-coding RNA, 404 nt
Organism: Pogonomyrmex barbatus (red harvester ant)
Lineage: Eukaryota; Metazoa; Arthropoda; Insecta; Hymenoptera; Formicidae
Source: RefSeq, a predicted model, not a curated record
GUGUGUAAAAUGUGUAUAUGGAAAGUUAUACCUUUUAAUCUCGAAUAUAUUCUUCAAUAUUAAAAAGUCAAGAUGUAUGGGACACGAUACACGAUGUGAUCGAAAGACGGUACACGAAGUCACCGAAAGACAAAUGAAAUCGUCGCGCAUCGUGAAAUAAACAAUGGAAAAUUGAGAUCGUUGUUUCUUUCUUAUUCGGCGACACAGCGAGCAGCAUACUCGACGACGCCGUUUGUGCAAUGACAGAGCAAAAGAAAAAAUUCGCUGAUAUGCUGCAACAACAGCAGAAACAGCAUGAGCUGCAGAUGCAGCAAUUAAGAGAGCAGCAUGAGCUGCAAUUGCAACAGUUGCGGGAGCAAGUAAACUUGCUGAAACAAUAACCGCAGCAGCAGCAGCAGCAGCAA